This 492-nucleotide ribosomal RNA is filed under the name uncultured bacterium. Its description in RNAcentral is "partial 16S ribosomal RNA". It matches the Rfam family "Bacterial small subunit ribosomal RNA", at positions 29 to 507 of the family's 1533-position model. The record is from RNAcentral.
AGUGAACGCUGGCGGUAGGCCUAACACAUGCAAGUCGAACGGCAGCACAGUAAGAGCUUGCUCUUACGGGUGGCGAGUGGCGGACGGGUGAGGAAUACAUCGGAAUCUACUUUUUCGUGGGGGAUAACGUAGGGAAACUUACGCUAAUACCGCAUACGACCUACGGGUGAAAGAAGGGGAUCUUCGGACCUUGCGCGAUUGAAUGAGCCGAUGUCGGAUUAGCUAGUUGGCGGGGUAAAGGCCCACCAAGGCGACGAUCCGUAGCUGGUCUGAGAGGAUGAUCAGCCACACUGGAACUGAGACACGGUCCAGACUCCUACGGGAGGCAGCAGUGGGGAAUAUUGGACAAUGGGCGCAAGCCUGAUCCAGCCAUACCGCGUGGGUGAAGAAGGCCUUCGGGUUGUAAAGCCCUUUUGUUGGGAAAGAAAAGCAGCAGGUUAAUACCCCGCUGUUCUGACGGUACCCAAAGAAUAAGCACCGGCUAACCUCGUG